CGGUAACGACGGGUAACGGGGAAUCAGGGUUCGAUUCCGGAGAGGGAGCCCGAGAAACGGCUACCACUUCCAAGGAAGGCAGCAGGCGCGCAACUUACCCUAAUCUCGAUUCGAGGAGGUAGUGACAAGAAAUACCGAUGCGGGACCCUACGGGUGCCGCGUUCGGAAUGAGUACGAUUCGAACCACCUAACGAGGAACGAUCGGAGGGCAAGUCUGGUGCCAGCAGCCGCGGUAAUUCCAGCUCCAAUAGCGUACGUUAAAGUUGCUGCAGUUAAAAAGCUCGUAGUUGAACGUUCGGGUUCCGCGGGACGGGGCCGCCCCGCGAGGGACGGCGCCGCCCCGGGGCUCGUGAUAUCUCAUCUCGCCGCCCGUCGCGAGGCGGACGGAGGGAUGGAUGAGGUUACCUGGAAAAAAUCGGGGCGAUCUAGGCGGGCGAACCUCGCCAACGAACGAUCGGACAUGGGC
RNAcentral lists this ribosomal RNA (466 nucleotides) under uncultured eukaryote. Its description in RNAcentral is "bacterial SSU rRNA". It matches the Rfam family "Eukaryotic small subunit ribosomal RNA", at positions 347 to 814 of the family's 1831-position model. The record is from RNAcentral.